ACAGCUCGGGCUCAGGCGGGCAGAGAGACGGUGGCAGAACCUGCGGGCUAGGUGGGAGGCUCACCCUCAGGGAAGAAGGAAGCGAGGACCGCCGCCGCCGGGGAGCGAGGAGACGGCGCUUCGAGGCCAGGGGUCGGGCGGCCGCCACCUCCUCCAGCAGCGGAGAAGGCGCAGCCGGCGGGCGCACCGGCCGCCGCGGCGACGCUGCGCGCAGGGAGGGAGGAGGAGGCGGCGGAGGAGGAGGAGAGCGGCUCAAGGAGACUUGAUUUUCGUGGAUUUGCUGCAAUUCCUUAAAUCAAACCAGGCUUUCGGGGCGUUAAAGUAAAUCGCCGGUGGCGGUGUGGAAGCCUAGCCAGGAGCUUCCAGGGGUGCUUUCCGAAAAAGAAGAGUGAAUCCGCCGGACUAAGCCAGCACGGGAUCUGAAAAACACCCAGAGGUAUGUAGAACAAUUCAUCCCCCUAUCUGGCUUUAUAAUGAUUGCAUUCCCCUCUCUUGACAUUUAUAUAGCCUUUUCUGAAGUGAAAUGCAUUUCGAGGGAUUCUCAAAGGAGAAAACCAGUGGAUUCUAUUUCAGACAAUGUAUUUAAAUAAAAAGGCUGCGUGUCUUUCUA
Molecule: long non-coding RNA, 610 nt
Organism: Phacochoerus africanus (Common warthog)
Lineage: Eukaryota; Metazoa; Chordata; Mammalia; Artiodactyla; Suidae
Exons: 3
Source: RefSeq, a predicted model, not a curated record